UAGGGAAUCUUCGGCAAUGGACGAAAGUCUGACCGAGCAACGCCGCGUGAGUGAAGAAGGUUUUCGGAUCGUAAAACUCUGUUGGUAGAGAAGAACGUUGGUGAGAGUGGAAAGCUCAUCAAGUGACGGUAACUACCCAGAAAGGGACGGCUAACUACGUGCCAGCAGCCGCGGUAAUACGUAGGUCCCGAGCGUUGUCCGGAUUUAUUGGGCGUAAAGCGAGCGCAGGUGGUUUAUUAAGUCUGGUGUAAAAGGCAGUGGCUCAACCAUUGUAUGCAUUGGAAACUGGUAGACUUGAGUGCAGGAGAGGAGAGUGGAAUUCCAUGUGUAGCGGUGAAAUGCGUAGAUAUAUGGAGGAACACCGGUGGCGAAAGCGGCUCUCUGGCCUGUAACUGACACUGAGGCUCGAAAGCGUGGGGAGCAAACAGGAUUAGAUACCCUGGUA
Molecule: ribosomal RNA, 445 nt
Filed under: uncultured bacterium
Lineage: Bacteria
Description: bacterial SSU rRNA
Rfam family: Bacterial small subunit ribosomal RNA
Source: RNAcentral